AACGAACGCUGGCGGCAGGCUUAACACAUGCAAGUCGAACGCAUCCUUCGGGGUGAGUGGCAGACGGGUGAGUAACGCGUGGGAACGUGCCCUUCAGUUCGGGAUAACCCAGGGAAACUUGGGCUAAUACCGGAUACGUGCGAGAGCAGAAAGAUUUAUCGCUGAAGGAUCGGCCCGCGUCUGAUUAGCUAGUUGGUGGGGUAAUGGCCCACCAAGGCGACGAUCAGUAGCUGGUCUGAGAGGAUGAUCAGCCACAUUGGGACUGAGACACGGCCCAAACUCCUACGGGAGGCAGCAGUGGGGAAUAUUGGACAAUGGGCGCAAGCCUGAUCCAGCCAUGCCGCGUGAGUGAUGAAGGCCUUAGGGUUGUAAAGCUCUUUCGCCGGUGAGGAUAAUGACGGUAACCGGAGAAGAAGCCCCGGCUAACUUCGUGCCAGCAGCCGCCGUAA
Molecule: ribosomal RNA, 449 nt
Filed under: uncultured bacterium
Lineage: Bacteria
Description: partial 16S ribosomal RNA
Rfam family: Bacterial small subunit ribosomal RNA
Source: RNAcentral